Molecule: small nucleolar RNA, 126 nt
Filed under: Echinops telfairi (small Madagascar hedgehog)
Lineage: Eukaryota; Metazoa; Chordata; Mammalia; Afrosoricida; Tenrecidae
Description: Small nucleolar RNA SNORA61 (ENSETEG00000025143.1)
Source: RNAcentral
UACCUCUAAAUUCCUUAUUCUGCAAACCUAAAUAGUGGUUUGAUGGCUUUAAAAUAAAGAGGAGGGAAAGUAAAAUGGAAAUGGACUUGGAGUCUUUAGUGACAAACAAGUUCAUUUCAAACAGGA